This 497-nucleotide ribosomal RNA is filed under the name uncultured bacterium. RNAcentral describes it as "partial 16S ribosomal RNA". It matches the Rfam family "Bacterial small subunit ribosomal RNA", at positions 28 to 507 of the family's 1533-position model. The record is from RNAcentral.
GAUGAACGCUGGCGGCGUGCCUAAUACAUGCAAGUCGAGCGAACGGACGAGAAGCUUGCUUUUCUGAUGUUAGCGGCGGACGGGUGAGUAACACGUGGAUAACCUCCCUAUAAGACUGGGAUAACUUCGGGAAACCGGAGCUAAUACCGGAUAAUCUUUUGAACCGCAUGGUUCAAAAGUGAAAGACGGUCUUGCUGUCACUUAUAGAUGGAUCCGCGCUGCAUUAGCUAGUUGGUAAGGUAACGGCUUACCAAGGCAACGAUGCAUAGCCGACCUGAGAGGGUGAUCGGCCACACUGGAACUGAGACACGGUCCAGACUCCUACGGGAGGCAGCAGUAGGGAAUCUUCCGCAAUGGGCGAAAGCCUGACGGAGCAACGCCGCGUGAGUGAUGAAGGUCUUCGGAUCGUAAAACUCUGUUAUUAGGGAAGAACAUAUGUGUAAGUAACUGUGCACAUCUUGACGGUACCUAAUCAGAAAGCCACGGCUAACUACGUG